This 254-nucleotide ribosomal RNA is filed under the name uncultured bacterium. RNAcentral's name for it is "partial 16S ribosomal RNA". It matches the Rfam family "Bacterial small subunit ribosomal RNA", at positions 524 to 776 of the family's 1533-position model. The record is from RNAcentral.
UACGGGGGGGGUAAGCGUUGUUCGGAAUUACUGGGCGUAAAGGGCGCGUAGGCGGUCGUGACAAGUCACUUGUGAAAUCUCCGGGCUUAACUCGGAACGGUCAAGUGAUACUGUCGGACUAGAGUACAGAAGGGGCAACUGGAGUUCUCGGUGUAGCGGUGAAAUGCGUAGAUAUCGAGAGGAACACCUGCGGCGAAGGCGGGUUGCUGGGCUGAUACUGACGCUGAGGCGCGAAAGCCAGGGGAGCGAACGGG